This 72-nucleotide transfer RNA is filed under the name Apaloderma vittatum (bar-tailed trogon). It matches the Rfam family "tRNA". Rfam says of the family: Transfer RNA (tRNA) molecules are approximately 80 nucleotides in length. Lineage: Eukaryota; Metazoa; Chordata; Aves; Trogoniformes; Trogonidae. The record is from Rfam by way of RNAcentral.
GGCCGGUUAGCUCAGUUGGUUGAGCUUGGUGCUGAUGACACCAAGGUCACGGGUUCAGUUCCCAUUCGGUCC